This is a long non-coding RNA of Astyanax mexicanus (Mexican tetra), 903 nucleotides long. RefSeq lists it as uncharacterized. The record is from RefSeq and is a predicted model, not a curated record. The transcript is spliced from 4 exons. NCBI's taxonomy places the organism in Eukaryota, Metazoa, Chordata, Actinopteri, Characiformes, Acestrorhamphidae.
UCUAGUGUCACUUAACGCGCCUUAUAAUGCGAUGCGCCCUAUGUAUGGAAAAAUACCAGAAAAUAGGCGUUCUUUGAUAGUGCGUCUUAUAAUACGGUGCGCCUUAUAGUCCGAAAAAUACGGUAACUUAAUAUGUGAUAUGUAUUGUAUGUAAACUCCACCAGAAGCAUGAUGGGAAAUAAUGUCAGAAAGAAUCUAGUUGCAGUCUUGCAAAUAGUGAUCCCCAGUCUUUGUAAAAACUUAGCCUGUGACUAAAAGGUCUUUGACGUAAUUUAAAAGAUAAAUUAACAGUCCCUCCAACAGUAUAACAUCCAUUACAACAAAGAAAUCCUCUACAAAAAAAAACAUUUCCUUACUUUUUGUGCUAUGUUUGAUAUAGCACUCAGCAUUACUCCUACUGCUGCUUUAACACACACUCUGAACCUCUGAGAGGACCUGCUAAUUAACUGAUUAGUGGAAUCAGGUGUGUUGGGGAGCAGGGAAAGCAAUCAGUGUGCAGUGCAGGAGUUCCAGCAGCAGGAUAGAGAAACUCUGUGGCAGUGUGGGGGUGUAUUCAUGCAUUGCUUCUAUGGAGGUGAAGGUCCAGGCAUCAUUCCAGUCAUGAUCUCUGAAGCUCAAUCAAGCCGCUGGCGGUUUGGCUGAUGGUGACGUCGCACUGAGGAUCAUCCUGGCAGACUAAGCUAUGGAGAACCGCUGGAAAAUGUAGCUGGUGUUGUAGGAGAGGACUGAUCAUCAGCUCAUUAGAGAACGGACUCUGGCGCAGUGAGCGGCAGUGCUGAGAUGGAUCUUGUCCUCUGGGGAAUGAUGAAGGUGUGAGCACGAGGGAUGUGGGAAUGGGGAAGUAUUUGGAGAAGAUCACAAGAGAUCACAUCAUCUAAUCUUCUGUGGGCUGAGAUUAAGGUU